AUAGUUCUAUUUAAAUUUAGGGUAAUACGUGGUUUUUACUAGUUAAUGAAAUAUUUACCGAAUAUUACGAGCAUAAGGUUAAAUCAUAAACGAUUGAACAAUGUGAUCAUUUUCAAAAAUAACGCAUUAUAGAGAACAAGGAAUUUCUAAUAACCCAUGUCUAUUAUGACAAACAAUGCACACAUCAAAGUUUCUACCUUUAACCAGAUUCUACUACAGCAGUCAUAGAUUUCCGUAGUUCGGAAAACAUGGCGGUAAUUCUCACUCAUGUUAAAAGUUUGUUCAGUUCAAAUUAAUAUUUCAAGAGGAAAAGAUUGCUAUAUUUCUUUCUUGCUUGUAAAAAAUUUGACCAAGUUUUUCUAGAAUCCACCACUACGUUAGUCAUAGAUUUUGGCAGUUUGAAAAAAAUAGCGGCAAUUCUCACUCAAAUGAAACGUCCGUCUGGUGGAAUAUAAUAUUUCAAGAAGAA
Polistes dominula (European paper wasp) is the source of this 469-nucleotide long non-coding RNA. Lineage: Eukaryota; Metazoa; Arthropoda; Insecta; Hymenoptera; Vespidae. The record is from RefSeq and is a predicted model, not a curated record.